RNAcentral lists this ribosomal RNA (253 nucleotides) under uncultured bacterium. RNAcentral describes it as "partial 16S ribosomal RNA". It matches the Rfam family "Bacterial small subunit ribosomal RNA", at positions 524 to 776 of the family's 1533-position model. The record is from RNAcentral.
UACGUAGGGGGCAAGCGUUGUCCGGAAUCAUUGGGCGUAAAGCGCGUGUAGGCGGCUCGAUAAGUCUGCUGUGAAAGUCCAGGGCUCAACCCUGGAAUGCCGGUGGAAACUGUCGAGCUGGAGUCCGGAAGAGGCGAGUGGAAUUCCUGGUGUAGCGGUGAAAUGCGCAGAUAUCAGGAGGAACACCAAUGGCGAAGGCAGCUCGCUGGGACGGUACUGACGCUGAGACGCGAAAGCGUGGGGAGCAAACAGG